Molecule: long non-coding RNA, 259 nt
Organism: Galleria mellonella (greater wax moth)
Lineage: Eukaryota; Metazoa; Arthropoda; Insecta; Lepidoptera; Pyralidae
Exons: 3
Source: RefSeq, a predicted model, not a curated record
UGCGACCGUCCUGAAACCCACGCGUUCGCAGAUUACAAUCAUCACGUAUCACGUCUAAAAUCUUCUUAACGACAACAGGGAAGACAUAAUUCAUGUUGGCUGGCAACUCAGCAUAGUUAAGGUUCAUCGCUGCGAUACCAGCAGAUCUCUGGCUUCGGAGCGGCCAGCAGCUGGCACUCGAAGACGAGCUUGUUGCCAUCGUCCUCCUGGCGCAGCUGCGGCUUCUGUGUGAAGCUAGGGGCUAAGUCGUCGGUCACCC